This 877-nucleotide long non-coding RNA is filed under the name Mytilus galloprovincialis (Mediterranean mussel). The record is from RNAcentral. Lineage: Eukaryota; Metazoa; Mollusca; Bivalvia; Mytilida; Mytilidae.
AAAUAUUUUACCUUUAAGUUAACUAUCAUAGAAACCAGGUAUAUUCCGAAUUGUACAUGUAUUACAUUUCAAUAUGGCAAUUUUCAACCAAUGUUUCAAUGCUUGUAGUGAAGAAUCGAUGAUCAGAUGGUACAAAAUGAAAAAAAAAAACAAGUUAACUUAGUAAUUGUAUGUGCCCGAAUCCUUUUCUGGAUUAAGCAUCAUCAGGAACGGCCAAAACCGAAUACUUGAAAGCUGAAGAUGUAUGAAAACCAAAACUAUUUAAGAGUGACUGAUAUUAAGAUUAACCCCUGUUUUUAUGGUUAUCUUAACAAAGUAUAUUUCGGAGUUUUUAUUCAAACUCAUUGCUCAAAAUGUUCUUAAUAUAUUGUUCUUUCUCAAAAAGUUUCAUUUCUGCAAAUUUGUUUGUUAGUUUACAAAAAAAUCAAUGACAUCACAAUCGCUAUCUUUUGUUAUGGAAUAGUGACAUAGUUUUGUUAUUUCAUUCCACAGACUAUUUGCAGUGGCGGAUCCAGAAUUGGGGGCCCACUGACUGACCUAAGAGGGGGCCUGCUCCAGUCACGCUUCAAUGCUUCCCUAUAUAAGCAACCAAUUUUUUUCCCAAAAAAGGGGGCCCCAGGCCCCCUGCCCCCCUUAAAUCCACGUCUGAUUUGCCAGUCAAUAGUUUCAAGGACUAUUACUCCGGUUAAUAGUUUCAUAAUCAUCUUUCCCGUACUUUUUCAUGCUUAUUUUUCAUUGGACAAUAAUGAUGUCAUUGACUAUUUUGCUUGGCAACGUCAAAUUCUGAUAUUGUAAACGGUAUAAUCUGUUUGCGUCGAUUGUGAUUUCACUAACAAUUAUAAACUAAAAUCAGUUGAUCUAAAUGGACAAGUGUGAA